UCCUCUCUCCUCACCGACCUUUGCUUUCCUUUCUGUUCUUCUUUGAUUUUAUUAUGUUUCAGGUUUAUUUUCUGGGAAGGGUUCAUUAUGCUUUGGUUGUAAGAUAUAUCCUUAAUUUGUUGUUCUUAUACUUUAGUUUUUGAGAAGAAAAUCAUGGGCUUUUGACUGUUUAAAACAUGGGUUUAAGGUUUUUUCCCCCAAAUGAUGAUGGGUUUAAGGUUUGAAGUGGUAGGAUUGCUGUGUUGGGUGAGUUUAGAGAUGGCUGGUCUGAUCUUUUGAUGUUUUGUCUUUGGGAUUGUGUUAAAAGUGCAAAAAGCUUCCAUCCGCAUGUGAUUAUCAAAAGAUGCAUAAACCCAUUUGGAUUUGGUAGCAAACAUCUCAAUUUUUCAAUAAAAAAAACUUA
Long non-coding RNA from Theobroma cacao (cacao), 403 nucleotides. RefSeq lists it as uncharacterized. The record is from RefSeq and is a predicted model, not a curated record. NCBI's taxonomy places the organism in Eukaryota, Viridiplantae, Streptophyta, Magnoliopsida, Malvales, Malvaceae.